Molecule: ribosomal RNA, 253 nt
Filed under: uncultured bacterium
Lineage: Bacteria
Description: partial 16S ribosomal RNA
Rfam family: Bacterial small subunit ribosomal RNA
Source: RNAcentral
GACAGAGGGUGCAAACGUUGUUCGGAAUUACUGGGCGUAAAGCGCGUGUAGGCGGUCACGCAAGUCAGGUGUGAAAGCCCAGGGCUCAACCCUGGAAGUGCACAUGAUACUACGUGGCUGGAGUACUGAAGAGGAGAGCGGAAUUCCCGGUGUAGAGGUGAAAUUCGUAGAUAUCGGGAGGAACACCAGUGGCGAAGGCGGCUCUCUGGGCAGAUACUGACGCUGAGACGCGAAAGCGUGGGUAGCAAACAGG